Molecule: ribosomal RNA, 1497 nt
Filed under: Staphylococcus aureus
Lineage: Bacteria; Bacillati; Bacillota; Bacilli; Caryophanales; Staphylococcaceae
Description: partial 16S ribosomal RNA
Rfam family: Bacterial small subunit ribosomal RNA
Source: RNAcentral
UUUAUGGAGAGUUUGAUCCUGGCUCAGGAUGAACGCUGGCGGCGUGCCUAAUACAUGCAAGUCGAGCGAACGGACGAGAAGCUUGCUUCUCUGAUGUUAGCGGCGGACGGGUGAGUAACACGUGGAUAACCUACCUAUAAGACUGGGAUAACUUCGGGAAACCGGAGCUAAUACCGGAUAAUAUUUUGAACCGCAUGGUUCAAAAGUGAAAGACGGUCUUGCUGUCACUUAUAGAUGGAUCCGCGCUGCAUUAGCUAGUUGGUAAGGUAACGGCUUACCAAGGCAACGAUGCAUAGCCGACCUGAGAGGGUGAUCGGCCACACUGGAACUGAGACACGGUCCAGACUCCUACGGGAGGCAGCAGUAGGGAAUCUUCCGCAAUGGGCGAAAGCCUGACGGAGCAACGCCGCGUGAGUGAUGAAGGUCUUCGGAUCGUAAAACUCUGUUAUUAGGGAAGAACAUAUGUGUAAGUAACUGUGCACAUCUUGACGGUACCUAAUCAGAAAGCCACGGCUAACUACGUGCCAGCAGCCGCGGUAAUACGUAGGUGGCAAGCGUUAUCCGGAAUUAUUGGGCGUAAAGCGCGCGUAGGCGGUUUUUUAAGUCUGAUGUGAAAGCCCACGGCUCAACCGUGGAGGGUCAUUGGAAACUGGAAAACUUGAGUGCAGAAGAGGAAAGUGGAAUUCCAUGUGUAGCGGUGAAAUGCGCAGAGAUAUGGAGGAACACCAGUGGCGAAGGCGACUUUCUGGUCUGUAACUGACGCUGAUGUGCGAAAGCGUGGGGAUCAAACAGGAUUAGAUACCCUGGUAGUCCACGCCGUAAACGAUGAGUGCUAAGUGUUAGGGGGUUUCCGCCCCUUAGUGCUGCAGCUAACGCAUUAAGCACUCCGCCUGGGGAGUACGACCGCAAGGUUGAAACUCAAAGGAAUUGACGGGGACCCGCACAAGCGGUGGAGCAUGUGGUUUAAUUCGAAGCAACGCGAAGAACCUUACCAAAUCUUGACAUCCUUUGACAACUCUAGAGAUAGAGCCUUCCCCUUCGGGGGACAAAGUGACAGGUGGUGCAUGGUUGUCGUCAGCUCGUGUCGUGAGAUGUUGGGUUAAGUCCCGCAACGAGCGCAACCCUUAAGCUUAGUUGCCAUCAUUAAGUUGGGCACUCUAAGUUGACUGCCGGUGACAAACCGGAGGAAGGUGGGGAUGACGUCAAAUCAUCAUGCCCCUUAUGAUUUGGGCUACACACGUGCUACAAUGGACAAUACAAAGGGCAGCGAAACCGCGAGGUCAAGCAAAUCCCAUAAAGUUGUUCUCAGUUCGGAUUGUAGUCUGCAACUCGACUACAUGAAGCUGGAAUCGCUAGUAAUCGUAGAUCAGCAUGCUACGGUGAAUACGUUCCCGGGUCUUGUACACACCGCCCGUCACACCACGAGAGUUUGUAACACCCGAAGCCGGUGGAGUAACCUUUUAGGAGCUAGCCGUCGAAGGUGGGACAAAUGAUUGG